Molecule: small nuclear RNA, 95 nt
Filed under: Mus pahari (shrew mouse)
Lineage: Eukaryota; Metazoa; Chordata; Mammalia; Rodentia; Muridae
Description: snRNA (MGP_PahariEiJ_G0033909.1)
Source: RNAcentral
GUGUUCCCCCAUUCGCCAGCAUACACAAAAUUGGAACAAUACAGAAAAGAUUAGUUUGGCAGUGGUGACAUGCAAGUUCAAUUCAUAAAAUAUUU